CGAAAGCCUGACGGAGCAACGCCGCGUGCGGGAGGAAGGCCUUAGGGUUGUAAACCGCUUUUCUCAGGGAAGAAGAUCUGACGGUACCUGAGGAAUCAGCCUCGGCUAACUCCGUGCCAGCAGCCGCGGUAAUACGGAGGAGGCAAGCGUUAUCCGGAAUUAUUGGGCGUAAAGCGUCCGCAGGGGGCGCAUCAAGUCUGCUGUUAAAGGUCGGAGCUAAACUCCGGUAGAGCAGUGGAAACUGGUGCGCUAGAGGGCGACAGGGGUAGAGGGAAUUCCCAGUGUAGCGGUGAAAUGCGUAGAGAUUGGGAAGAACACCGGUGGCGAAAGCGCUCUACUGGGUCGCACCUGACCCUCAGGGACGAAAGCUAAGGUAGCG
Molecule: ribosomal RNA, 379 nt
Filed under: uncultured cyanobacterium
Lineage: Bacteria; Bacillati; Cyanobacteriota
Description: bacterial SSU rRNA
Rfam family: Bacterial small subunit ribosomal RNA
Source: RNAcentral